CGGUAACYYCAGCUCCAGUAGUGUAUAUUAAUACUGCUGCAGUUAAAAAGCCCGUAKUCUAUGUAGGCUGCGGUGGGGGGCGUAUUGUGCUCUUUUUGACGGUAGGGGGCGUUCGCACUUGCCCAUACCAAACCCGCUGCAGCCUGGCAGUUGGCUCAGGGGGCGUUCCAUGAAUAAUGGGGCGUCCCAUGUAGGGGAAGGACAAUUGUUUUACAGUGCCUUGAGGUAAUCAACGUGCUUCAAGCAGGUUUUGACAACCCUUGCAUGGAUUGCAUGGCAUGCUUAGAGGAGCCGGGGCGCAGGUGAAGAGAGAAUUCAUGAAGGUUGUCUGUUUGGAGUCUCAUUGGUGUAUGCAGAACGCGCUAUGUUCGAGAGGGGCUAGUUUAGACAUCGGUACUGCGAUGAUAGGGGUGAAAUCCAGUGACCAUCUCAUGAUCAGCUGCUGCGAAGGCGGUUGUAUGUCAUGUCCCCUCUGAUAAAGGACUAAGGAUUGGCUCUCAAAGGCGAUCAGAUACCGCUGUAGUCCAAUCAGUAAAUGAUGCCAACUAGACCAAGGGCUUAGAUUCAUGCAGAUAAUUGGCUCUUGGUCUUAGAGAAAUCAAAGUGGAUGGGCUCCGGGGGGAGUAUGGUCGCAAGGCUGAAACUUAAAGGAAUUGACGGAAGGGCACCACAAGGUGUGGAGCCUGCGGCUU
Molecule: ribosomal RNA, 692 nt
Filed under: Cantharellus cibarius (golden chanterelle)
Lineage: Eukaryota; Fungi; Basidiomycota; Agaricomycetes; Cantharellales; Hydnaceae
Description: SSU rRNA
Rfam family: Eukaryotic small subunit ribosomal RNA
Source: RNAcentral